This 293-nucleotide ribosomal RNA is filed under the name uncultured bacterium. Its description in RNAcentral is "partial 16S ribosomal RNA". It matches the Rfam family "Archaeal small subunit ribosomal RNA", at positions 455 to 747 of the family's 1478-position model. The record is from RNAcentral.
GUGCCAGCAGCCGCGGUAAUACCGGCAGCCCGAGUGAUGGCCGAUAUUAUUGGGCCUAAAGCGUCCGUAGCUGGCCGAACAAGUCCGUCGGGAAAUCCACGUGCUUAACGCGUGGGCGUCCGGUGGAAACUGCGUGGCUUGGGACCGGAAGGCGCGACGGGUACGUCCGGGGUAGGAGUGAAAUCCCGUAAUCCUGGACGGACCGCCGAUGGCGAAAGCACGUCGCGAAGACGGAUCCGACAGUGAGGGACGAAAGCUAGGGUCUCGAACCGGAUUAGAAACCCGAGUAGUCC